GACUAGGAUACUGUCAGUACGUGAUAGUUGAUGUUGUGUUAACUAGCAGGUGUAGUUUACUAGCUGUUACUGGCUAGGGUUAGACACUUCUACGGAGCAAUGGCUUUUGGGUGUUGGGUGGGAGUAUUUAUACUCCUGUCUGUAUGGCCUAGUGUAAGAUGUUCUGACCUUCCAAGAGGGGCCAUUGAGACUGCAUGCCGGGAUCGAUACCUGUUAGUAACAACCCAACUCUCAUUUGCUGGGAACGAACCUCGCUUUGAAG
Molecule: long non-coding RNA, 262 nt
Organism: Oncorhynchus nerka (sockeye salmon)
Lineage: Eukaryota; Metazoa; Chordata; Actinopteri; Salmoniformes; Salmonidae
Exons: 3
Source: RefSeq, a predicted model, not a curated record